AACUCCCGCAGGACUCCGGAGCUCCUCAUCCCUACAGUAACACCAGCAGGACUGCUGCUCUCCCUGGGACCCUGAUACCAGAUAUCGUGCUGCAGCUCGAAAACUCACCACCGCGUUCAUCUUGAGCGGCUCGGAGAGGCUGGAGGACAUGGGGGUGAGGCUGGACUCCAGGGCCUUGACGUAGGCGCGCGCCGAGGCCAGGCGCAGCCGGUACAGGUCCUUCUGGAAUGCUCGGUGCAUGGCUAGGGACGGGGGGAGCAGGGGGGAGAAAGGCGGAUUCAAUCACCAAGGGGGAAGGGGUGGGCUCUCAAAACGAACAACAGUCACUCCUGGGCCCGCAGCCCUGCACUGGCUACCAAGCAGACGGGGAUGAUGUAGCAUUCAGGGCACAAAGUGCAGAGCAGUGGCUCUGUGGCUCAGGAUCUGCGCCUGUGGCUGGGGAGGUUGCCGGUUCGAAUCCCACAGCUGGCAGAGGAAUCCUACUCCGUUGGGCCCCUGAGCGAGGCCCUUCACCCCAGCUGCUCCAGGGGUGCUGUAUAAAUGGCUGACCCUGCGCUCCGACCCCCAGCUUCUCUCUCCCUGUCUGUGUGUCUCAUGGAGAGCAAGCUGGGGUCUGAGAAAAGACACAUUCCUAAUGCAAAAAAUUGUAUAUGGCUAAUAAAGUGAUCUUCAAAACGUGAAGAUGGUUUGGCACUACUUUCUUUUCAGAUCCCUUCAAGCACGACUGUAAGUUUUCUGUCAUUUAACGUUUCUCUCAAGCGCCAUCUGCUGGUACCUGCUGCAAUCACGAGGGACAGGCAAAGAGGAACUUCCCAUCCAUUCAUUUCCUAACUGCUUGUUCUAAUCGAGGGUCAUGGGGAGCCGGAGUCUAUCCCAGCAAGCAAUGGGCCCGAGGCAGGGUACACCCUGGAUGGGACAGCAGUCCAUCGCAAGGAGACACACUCACCAGCACGUCUGUGGACUGUGGGAGGAAACUGGAGCACCCGGAGGAAACCCACAUUUACAUAAGGAGAACACGCAAACUCCACCCAGACAG
Molecule: long non-coding RNA, 1036 nt
Filed under: Lepisosteus oculatus (spotted gar)
Lineage: Eukaryota; Metazoa; Chordata; Actinopteri; Semionotiformes; Lepisosteidae
Description: lncRNA (ENSLOCG00000023269.1)
Source: RNAcentral